UCAACUUGAGAGUUUGAUCCUGGCUCAGAACGAACGCUGGCGGCAGGCCUAACACAUGCAAGUCGAGCGAGACCUUCGGGUCUAGCGGCGGACGGGUUAGUAACGCGUGGGAACGUGCCCUUCUCUGCGGAAUAGCCACUGGAAACGGUGAAUAAUACCGCAUACGCCCUUCGGGGGAAAGAUUUAUCGGAGAAGGAUCGGCCCGCGUUAGAUUAGAUAGUUGGUGGGGUAAUGGCCUACCAAGUCUACGAUCUAUAGCUGGUUUUAGAGGAUGAUCAGCAACACUGGGACUGAGACACGGCCCAGACUCCUACGGGAGGCAGCAGUGGGGAAUCUUAGACAAUGGGCGCAAGCCUGAUCUAGCCAUGCCGCGUGUGUGAUGAAGGUCUUAGGAUCGUAAAGCACUUUCG
RNAcentral lists this ribosomal RNA (410 nucleotides) under Sulfitobacter sp. HI0076. RNAcentral describes it as "bacterial SSU rRNA". It matches the Rfam family "Bacterial small subunit ribosomal RNA", at positions 1 to 438 of the family's 1533-position model. The record is from RNAcentral. Lineage: Bacteria; Pseudomonadati; Pseudomonadota; Alphaproteobacteria; Rhodobacterales; Roseobacteraceae.